RNAcentral lists this ribosomal RNA (525 nucleotides) under uncultured bacterium. Its description in RNAcentral is "bacterial SSU rRNA". It matches the Rfam family "Bacterial small subunit ribosomal RNA", at positions 94 to 630 of the family's 1533-position model. The record is from RNAcentral.
AGUGGCGAAAGGGGCAGUAAGGCAUGGGUAACCUACCUCGGGGACGAGGAUAGCCUUCCUAACGGAAGGGUAAUACUUGGCGAUCUGAUUGGGGGGCAUCCCUUGGUCAGGAAACGAAUUUCGCCUCGAGAGGGGCUCAUGUAGUAUUAGCUGGUUGGUGGGGUAACGGCCCACCAAGGCGAAGAUGCUUAGCGGGUGUGAGAGCACGACCCGCGCCACUGGCACUGAGACACUGGCCAGACUCCUACGGGAGGCUGCAGUCGAGGAUCUUCGGCAAUGGGCGCAAGCCUGACCGAGCGACGCCGCGUGUGCGAUGAAGGCCUUCGGGUUGUAAAGCACUGUCGAGGGGGAGAAAGCCGCAAGGUUGAUCGACCCCUGGAGGAAGCACGGGCUAAGUUCGUGCCAGCAGCCGCGGUAAGACGAACCGUGCGAACGUUGUUCGGAUUCACUGGGCUUAAAGGGCGCGUAGGCGGGUGCUCAAGUCAGGGGUGAAAUCUUUCGGCUCAACCGGAAAAGUGCCUCUGA